RNAcentral lists this transfer RNA (72 nucleotides) under Ornithorhynchus anatinus (platypus). It matches the Rfam family "tRNA". Rfam says of the family: Transfer RNA (tRNA) molecules are approximately 80 nucleotides in length. Lineage: Eukaryota; Metazoa; Chordata; Mammalia; Monotremata; Ornithorhynchidae. The record is from Rfam by way of RNAcentral.
AGCAGCGUGGCUCAGUGGAAAGAGCCUGGGCUUUGGAGUCAGAGGUCAUGGGUUCGAUUCCUGGCUCUGCCA